UACGGGAGGCAGCAGUGGGGAAUAUUGGACAAUGGGCGCAAGCCUGAUCCAGCCAUGCCGCGUGAGUGAUGAAGGCCCUAGGGUUGUAAAGCUCUUUUGUGCGGGAAGAUAAUGACGGUACCGCAAGAAUAAGCCCCGGCUAACUUCGUGCCAGCAGCCGCGGUAAUACGAAGGGGCUAGCGUUGCUCGGAAUCACUGGGCGUAAAGGGUGCGUAGGCGGGUCUUUAAGUCAGGGGUGAAAUCCUGGAGCUCAACUCCAGAACUGCCUUUUGAUACUGAAGAUCUUGAGUUCGGGAGAGGUGAGUGGAACUGCGAGUGUAGAGGUGAAAUUCGUAGAUAUUCGCAAGAACACCAGUGGCGAAGGCGGCUCACUGGCCCGAUACUGACGCUGAGGCACGAAAGCGUGGGGAGCAAACAGGGAUUAGAUACC
RNAcentral lists this ribosomal RNA (430 nucleotides) under uncultured bacterium. RNAcentral describes it as "bacterial SSU rRNA". It matches the Rfam family "Bacterial small subunit ribosomal RNA", at positions 340 to 786 of the family's 1533-position model. The record is from RNAcentral.